Molecule: long non-coding RNA, 256 nt
Filed under: Nicotiana benthamiana
Lineage: Eukaryota; Viridiplantae; Streptophyta; Magnoliopsida; Solanales; Solanaceae
Description: long non-coding RNA (NBEN_LNC011774)
Source: RNAcentral
AUAUGGGUAAUCCUUAGUAUACUCAAAAACUUCGUUGUGGUGUCAAGACCAUUUUCGGAAGAGCGUGGAAUAGUAGAGUUCUUCUUCCUUUUAUUCCAAAAUGAGGGCUACGCGGCCGAAUCCUUCAAUCCGAGGCGAUCGAAGUGAGGCAGAGUUUCGUCCUGAGCAAUGAAGAUAGAGACCAAUCACUUUGAUCGUGGUUGUUCUAGCCAAGCCGCUUCGGAUCCAGCUAGCCCUUGAAAGGAUUAACUAAAAG